GCAAACUUGGUCAUUUAGAGGAAGUAAAAGUCGUAACAAGGUUUCCGUAGGUGAACCUGCGGAAGGAUCAUUACAGAAUAAAACCUGGCUUUGACUGUUUUGCUGGCUCUUCCGGGAGCAUGUGCACGUCUUGGUCAUUUUUUAAUCUUACCACCUGUGAACACUUUGUAGAUCUUUUCUGGGGGAUUGGGUUCGCAAGAGCCCCUUCUACUUGGGAAGUCUAUGUCUUUUAUAUCUUUACUCCAAUAGAAUGUAAACGAACGAACUUAUGGCUUCGGCCUAUAAAACUUGUACAACUUUCAGCAACGGAUCUCUUGGCUCUCGCAUCGAUGAAGAACGCAGC
RNAcentral lists this unclassified non-coding RNA (343 nucleotides) under uncultured fungus. RNAcentral describes it as "partial contains small subunit ribosomal RNA, internal transcribed spacer 1, and 5.8S ribosomal RNA". The stretch from base 1 to 73 matches the Rfam family "Eukaryotic small subunit ribosomal RNA", at positions 1759 to 1831 of the family's 1831-position model. The record is from RNAcentral. Lineage: Eukaryota; Fungi.